Molecule: unclassified non-coding RNA, 307 nt
Filed under: Hevea brasiliensis (rubber tree)
Lineage: Eukaryota; Viridiplantae; Streptophyta; Magnoliopsida; Malpighiales; Euphorbiaceae
Source: RNAcentral
GAAUAGCUUAUAAGAUGCCAGAGUAACAAAAGGUUUUUCUAAAAUUAAUAAAAUAGCAACAGUAAUGAAAGGUUUUGUACAGUCAAAUUAUAAGAGGAUCUCCGCGGAUAAACUACAAUACUACAACUAGUACGUUGACCGUACCAUGUCUAAAGCACAGUAUACGGCAACAAGAGGGGGCACUCGAGUAUGCAUAAGUGACAUCACGGUAUGAGCUACAAGGAUGAUGCCAACCGGAAAGCAUGUAUACUCUCCAAGGCCCCUCGGAAAAGCUGAGGAUAUCCGACUCCAAAAGAAAUGGAGCAAA